RNAcentral lists this ribosomal RNA (468 nucleotides) under uncultured bacterium. Its description in RNAcentral is "partial 16S ribosomal RNA". It matches the Rfam family "Bacterial small subunit ribosomal RNA", at positions 28 to 507 of the family's 1533-position model. The record is from RNAcentral.
GACGAACGCUGGCGGCGUGCUUAACACAUGCAAGUCGAACGGAAAGGCCCUGCUUUUGUGGGGUGCUCGAGUGGCGAACGGGUGAGUAACACGUGAGUAACCUGCCCUUGACUUUGGGAUAACUUCAGGAAACUGGGGCUAAUACCGGAUAGGAGCUCCUGCUGCAUGGUGGGGGUUGGAAAGUUUCGGCGGUUGGGGCUGUACUCGCUGCUUAUCAGCUUGUUGGUGGGGUAGUGGCUUACCAAGCCUUUGACGGGUAGCCGGCCUGGGAGGGGUACCGGCGUCCUGGGGACUGCGGUACGCACCAGACUCCAACGGGAGGCAGCGGGGGGGAGCAUUACGGAACGGCGGGACGCCUGAGACGGCGGUGCUCCGAGCGGGAUGACGGCCUUUGGGUUGAAAACCGAUGUCGAAUGUGACGAACAGUGAGUGACGGUAAUGAGUAAAGAAGCACCGGCUAACUACGUG